RNAcentral lists this ribosomal RNA (684 nucleotides) under uncultured Nitrososphaerota archaeon. RNAcentral's name for it is "bacterial SSU rRNA". It matches the Rfam family "Archaeal small subunit ribosomal RNA", at positions 73 to 760 of the family's 1478-position model. The record is from RNAcentral. Lineage: Archaea; Thermoproteati; Nitrososphaerota.
AAUAUGUGGCAUACGGCUCAGUAACACGUAGUCAACAUGCCCAGGGGACGUGGAUAACCUCGGGAAACUGAGGAUAAACCGCGAUAGGUCAUCACUUCUGGAAUGGGUAAUGACUUAAACCUAUAUGGCCCCUGGAUUGGACUGCGGCCGAUCAGGCUGUUGGUGAGGUAAUGGCCCACCAAACCUGUAACCGGUACGGGCUCUGAGAGGAGGAGCCCGGAGAUGGGCACUGAGACAAGGGCCCAGGCCCUAUGGGGCGCAGCAGGCGCGAAACCUCUGCAAUAGGCGAAAGCUUGACAGGGUUACUCUGAGUGAUUUCCGUUAAGGAGAUCUUUUGGCACCUCUAAAAAUGGUGCAGAAUAAGGGGUGGGCAAGUCUGGUGUCAGCCGCCGCGGUAAUACCAGCACCCCGAGUGGUCGGGACGUUUAUUGGGCCUAAAGCAUCCGUAGCCGGUUCUACAAGUCUUCCGUUAAAUCCACCUGCUUAACAGAUGGGCUGCGGAAGAUACUAUAGAGCUAGGAGGCGGGAGAGGCAAGCGGUACUCGAUGGGUAGGGGUAAAAUCCGUUGAUCCAUUGAAGACCACCAGUGGCGAAGGCGGCUUGCCAGAACGCGCUCGACGGUGAGGGAUGAAAGCUGGGGGAGCAAACCGGAUUAGAUACCCGGGUAGUCCCAGCUGUAAACGA